UGGGGAAUAUUGCACAAUGGGCGCAAGCCUGAUGCAGCCAUGCCGCGUGUGUGAAGAAGGCCUUCGGGUUGUAAAGCACUUUCAGCGAGGAGGAAGAUGGUGAGCUUAAUACGCUCAUCAAUUGACGUUACUCGCAGAAGAAGCACCGGCUAACUCCGUGCCAGCAGCCGCGGUAAUACGGAGGGUGCAAGCGUUAAUCGGAAUUACUGGGCGUAAAGCGCACGCAGGCGGUUUGUUAAGUCAGAUGUGAAAUCCCCGGGCUCAACCUGGGAACUGCAUUUGAAACUGGCAAGCUAGAGUCUCGUAGAGGGGGGUAGAAUUCCAGGUGUAGCGGUGAAAUGCGUAGAGAUCUGGAGGAAUACCGGUGGCGAAGGCGGCCCCCUGGACGAAGACUGACGCUCAGGCUGCGAAAGGCGUGGGGCAGCAAACAGGAUUAGAUACCCUGGUAGUCCACGCUGUAAACGAUGUCGAUUUUGGAGGUUGUGCCCCUUGAGGCGUGGCUUCCGGAGCUAACGCGUUAAAUCGACCG
Molecule: ribosomal RNA, 529 nt
Filed under: uncultured bacterium
Lineage: Bacteria
Description: partial 16S ribosomal RNA
Rfam family: Bacterial small subunit ribosomal RNA
Source: RNAcentral